Ictalurus punctatus (channel catfish) is the source of this 370-nucleotide long non-coding RNA. The record is from Ensembl. Lineage: Eukaryota; Metazoa; Chordata; Actinopteri; Siluriformes; Ictaluridae.
CUUGUUACCGAGGACCUGCGUUGUGCCUAAGCUAGCGUGUUAUGAUGUUGUUCUCUCUGUCCUACUUGUAUUACGUUCCAGUGUUAUGAUUGGGUAGUAGUAGCCACCGUCUGGUAUUAUGAUUGGUUAGAUCGUUCAUACGCACGGUCAUAGUGAAAUCUUGGCCAAUCCUAGUCCAGGAGGCGGGACUUGUCGCAAAGCGGGUAGGAGAACGGUAGCACGCUUUGCUAAUAUAUCAGGCUAACCGGUAACUACUGACUGCUGUGUCUCAGGUAACUACUGACUGCUGUGUCUCAGGUAACUACUGACUGCUGUGUCUCAGAUAAAUGACAUGAAAUUACUGACUGCGGUGUCUCGGGUAACUACUGAC